Molecule: ribosomal RNA, 560 nt
Filed under: unidentified archaeon
Lineage: Archaea
Description: bacterial SSU rRNA
Rfam family: Archaeal small subunit ribosomal RNA
Source: RNAcentral
UCCGGUUGAUCCUGCCAGAGGUUACUGCUAUCGAGGUUCGACUAAGCCAUGCGAGUCGAAUGUAGCAAUACAUGGCGUACUGCUCAGUAACACGUGGACAACCUGCCCUUAGGUUGGGUAUAAACCCGGGAAACUGGGUAUAAUCCCCUAUAAGUCUCGGCUGCUGGAAUGCACCGAGAUUAAAAGCUCCGGCGCCUAAGGAUGGGUCUGCGGCCUAUCAGGUAGUAGUGGGUGUAGCGUACCUACUAGCCUACGACGGGUACGGGUUGUGAGAGCAAGAGCCCGGAGAUGGAUUCUGAGACACGAAUCCAGGCCCUACGGGGUGCAGCAGGCGCGAAAACUUUACAAUGCUGGCAACAGCGAUAAGGGAACCUCGAGUGCCAGGUUACAAAUCUGGCUGUCGAGAUGCCUAAAAAGCAUUUCAUAGCAAGGGCCGGGCAAGACCGGUGCCAGCCGCCGCGGUAACACCGGCGGCUCGAGUGGUAACCGUUAUUAUUGGGUCUAAAGGGUCUGUAGCCGGCCGGAUAAGUCUCUUGAGAAAUCUGGCAGCUUAACCGUCA